AUUGAACGCUGGCGGCAUGCCUUACACAUGCAAGUCGAACGGCAGCACGGGAGCAAUCCUGGUGGCGAGUGGCGAACGGGUGAGUAAUAUAUCGGAACGUGCCCAGUCGUGGGGAUAACGUAGCGAAAGCUACGCUAAUACCGCAUACGAUCUAUGGAUGAAAGCGGGGGAUCGCAAGACCUCGCGCGAUUGGAGCGGCCGAUAUCAGAUUAGGUAGUUGGUGAGGUAAAGGCUCACCAAGCCGACGAUCUGUAGCUGGUCUGAGAGGACGACCAGCCANACUGGGACUGAGACAAGGCCCAGACUCCUACGGAGGCAGCAGUGGGGAAUUUUGGGACAAUGGGCGCAAGCCUGAUCCAGCAAUGCCGCGUGCAGGAUGAAGGCCUU
RNAcentral lists this ribosomal RNA (387 nucleotides) under uncultured bacterium. RNAcentral's name for it is "bacterial SSU rRNA". It matches the Rfam family "Bacterial small subunit ribosomal RNA", at positions 30 to 418 of the family's 1533-position model. The record is from RNAcentral.